GACGAACGCUGGCGGCGUGCUUAACACAUGCAAGUCGAACGAAGAGCGACGGAAGCUUGCUUCUAUCAAUCUUAGUGGCGAACGGGUGAGUAACGCGUAAUCAACCUGCCCUUCAGAGGGGGACAACAGUUGGAAACGACUGCUAAUACCGCAUACGAUCUAAUCUCGGCAUCGAGGAUGGAUGAAAGGUGGCCUCUACAAGUAAGCUAUCACUGAAGGAGGGGAUUGCGUCUGAUUAGCUAGUUGGAGGGGUAACGGCCCACCAAGGCGAUGAUCAGUAGCCGGUCUGAGAGGAUGAACGGCCACAUUGGGACUGAGACACGGCCCAGACUCCUACGGGAGGCAGCAGUGGGGAAUCUUCCGCAAUGGACGAAAGUCUGACGGAGCAACGCCGCGUGAGUGAUGACGGCCUUCGGGUUGUAAAGCUCUGUUAAUCGGGACGAAAGGCCUUCUUGCGAAUAGUGAGAAGGAUUGACGGUACCGGAAUAGAAAGCCACGGCUAACUACGUG
This 510-nucleotide ribosomal RNA is filed under the name uncultured bacterium. Its description in RNAcentral is "partial 16S ribosomal RNA". It matches the Rfam family "Bacterial small subunit ribosomal RNA", at positions 28 to 507 of the family's 1533-position model. The record is from RNAcentral.